GUUCCCGAGGAGCGUUGCGACGGCCACCGCCAGGUGCGCUGCCAGGCUCGGGGCCCGGCCCGGAGCAGCCUGCUUCGCCCCGCCGGAUGCAACGGCGCUCACUCCCC
RNAcentral lists this non-coding RNA (107 nucleotides) under beta proteobacterium AAP65. RNAcentral's name for it is "SAH (S-adenosyl-L-homocysteine) riboswitch aptamer". It matches the Rfam family "SAH (S-adenosyl-L-homocysteine) riboswitch aptamer". RNAcentral also lists the same sequence under 1 other name. Lineage: Bacteria; Pseudomonadati; Pseudomonadota; Betaproteobacteria. The record is from Rfam by way of RNAcentral.